Molecule: ribosomal RNA, 450 nt
Filed under: Treponema maltophilum
Lineage: Bacteria; Pseudomonadati; Spirochaetota; Spirochaetia; Treponematales; Treponemataceae
Description: bacterial SSU rRNA
Rfam family: Bacterial small subunit ribosomal RNA
Source: RNAcentral
AACGAACGCUGGCGGCGCGUCUUAAACAUGCAAGUCGAACGGCAAAAGAGGGGCUUGCCCCUUUUUGAGAGUGGCGGACUGGUGAGUAACACUGUGGGUGACAUACCUUUUAGUUGGAGAUAGCUAUUAGAAAUAGUAGGUAAUACCGAGUGUGACCGUAUUUAUUAGAAGGAUACGAGGAAAGGAGCUAAGGCUUCGCUAAAAGAAUGGCUCGCGGCCCAUUAUGCUGGUUGGUGAGGUAACGGCCCACCAAGGCGAUGAUGGGUAUCCGGCCUGAGAGGGUGAACGGACACAUUGGGACUGAGAUACGGCCCAGACUUCUACGGGAGGCAGCAGUUAAGAAUAUUCCGCAAUGGACGAAAGUCUGACGGAGCGACGCCGCGUGGAUGAAGAAUGCCGAAAGGUUGUAAAAUCCCUUUUAAGCCUGAUGAAUAAGCACAAUAAGGGAAU